UAGCGGAGCGUGUGGUUUAAUUCGAUGCAACGCGAAGAACCUUACCAAGGCUUGACAUGCUUGAAGUAGAAACUUGAAAGAGAGACGACCUGUAUCCAAUCAGGAGCUUGCACAGGUGCUGCAUGGCUGUCGUCCAGCUCGUGCCGUGAGGUGUUAGGUUAAGUCCUGCAACGAGCGCAACCCUCAUUGCUAGUUAAAUUCUCUAGCGAUACUGCCCGUAUAACGUGGAGGAAGGUGAGGAUGACGUCAAGUCAGCAUGGCCCUUACGCCUUGGGCUACACACACGCUACAAUGGAUGAUACAGAGGGUCGCUAAGAAGCGAUUCGGAGCUAAUCCCUAAAAUCAUCCUCAGUUCAGAUUGUAGACUGAAACUGUCUACAUGAAGUAGGAGUUGCUAGUAACCGCAUAA
Molecule: ribosomal RNA, 409 nt
Filed under: uncultured bacterium
Lineage: Bacteria
Description: bacterial SSU rRNA
Rfam family: Bacterial small subunit ribosomal RNA
Source: RNAcentral